GACGAACGCUGGCGGCGUGCUUAACACAUGCAAGUCGAGCGAGGCCCUCCUUCGGGGGGUGCCCUAGCGGCGAACGGGUGAGUAACACGUGGGCAACCUGCCCUCAGCUCUGGGAUAACUCCAAGAAAUUGGUGCUAAUACCGGAUGUGACCGCUGACCGCAUGGUCUGGUGGUGGAAAGAUUUAUCGGCUGAGGAUGGGCCCGCGGCCUAUCAGCUUGUUGGUGGGGUCACGGCCCACCAAGGCGACGACGGGUAGCCGGCCUGAGAGGGUGACCGGCCACACUGGGACUGAGACACGGCCCAGACUCCUACGGGAGGCAGCAGUGGGGAAUAUUGCGCAAUGGGCGAAAGCCUGACGCAGCGACGCCGCGUGAGGGAUGACGGCCUGGU
RNAcentral lists this ribosomal RNA (391 nucleotides) under uncultured bacterium. Its description in RNAcentral is "bacterial SSU rRNA". It matches the Rfam family "Bacterial small subunit ribosomal RNA", at positions 28 to 420 of the family's 1533-position model. The record is from RNAcentral.